This 215-nucleotide microRNA precursor is filed under the name Oryza glumipatula. RNAcentral describes it as "MIR812 microRNA precursor family". It matches the Rfam family "MIR812 microRNA precursor family". The record is from Rfam by way of RNAcentral. Lineage: Eukaryota; Viridiplantae; Streptophyta; Magnoliopsida; Poales; Poaceae.
AAUAAAUAUAAUUUUACACCGUUCAUCUUCAACAUUUGAUCAUUUGUUUUAUUUAAAUUUUUUUUAUUUUUUAUGAUCAGUAUUUUUAUUGUUAUUAGAUAUAAAACAUUAAUAAUAUUUAAAGCAUGACUAAUUAUUUUUAAUUUUUUUUCAUAAUUUUAUAAAUAAGAUGAACGAUCAAACACUGUACACGGAUACCCUCGACUACACUUAUU